GCCUUUCCUGACAGUGCCAUGGCACCUCUCUGUAGGUGAGCGACACUGCCAUUUCCUUCCAAGUGUGCCAUAUUUUCUUUUUUAAGUUAUUACAUGCUGAUUUACAGGUUGGUUUAGUCUAUUGUAUCAUGCCUCUAAUUCUGCUCCAUGCUCAAGUCAACAUGACACUUCUUCCCCCAAUUUUUUUCUCAAAUUAUUCUAUGUUAGUUCGGUUUGUCCUAUCAGGCUGAAUGAGCUGUCCACAUCUCCGUGUACAAAGGGUUAGUAUACAUCUACAUAAUCAGAUGCUGGAGGAAAUGUAGCAUAAUAUAUCUAAUCAUAUUAUAUGCUUUACUUACAAUGGUGCCUGCUCAGUGUAGCCAUUUACUCAUGAACUGUAACGUUUCUUUUUACAGAAAAUAGACAAGAUGGGGACAACAAAAUUUCUUUCUCCCAAUUCUGGCACCCCCAUCAAUUGCUUAAUUUUUCAUUACAAUUUUAAUGUCAAUAUUUUUCCUUAAGAAAUUUUGCUAACCGUGGCUUCAUUGCUAAUCAGUUUAUGGUUCACGUACUUGCCCAAAACAUAAUGUUUAGUUGCAGUUGAGCAAACACAACUAGAUCGUGUUAAUGCAUAAGUGAAAUCAACAGUCUUGACGAACCUAGAAUCUAAGGUAUAUAUGCACUGCGAUAUGUUUUACUAGCCUCCUGUUAAAUUCCAAGGACCCUCUUUAUCUUGAGGAUCAUUGUAUAUUGGUAUUUUGUUGCUCUUUCACUAGAAGAUGAUGCCAACUUGUUUUCUAAUUUGUAUAUGAUAAAACUGCAACAUGUCAUAAAAAAGCAGGUUUGGAAGAAUGGUAUUUUUUUAAAGCAAGUUUGGAAGAAUGGUAUUUAUCUAAAUUACGGACAACAAAUGCCAGAAUGGAAUAAAAAGUAAAUAUUCAUUAACACUUGAACACAUUUGUUGGAAUAUAGUGGUUGCUGUAUGAUCUUGAAGCAUGUAUUGCAUUGUAACAAUACAAGGCACGUGCUACUGUUUGACGUGUGAUCUUACAUUGGUAUUAUUAUCCCUGAUUUUCUUUUAGCGACUACUGUAUGAUCUUUGAAGUAUCUAAUCCAACGUUUAUGGAGCAUCAAGUGGCUGGGUUGAGAAGAGAAGUUAUUUGUUGGACCUACAAGGCGCAGAAAUCUAGCUGGCAACAAAAUUAUUUAUAUUUACGAAUGCAGUAAUAUGCAAUACAUAGUGUGUUUUUUAGAAUUACUUGUGUCAUGUUGGAAACAAUGUUGCUGGUGCCUUUACGUGUUACUACUGCUUUAUUGUUCAUGUAUAAUGCCUUCACAUAUUUGUGCCAAGCUAACAUUCAAUAUAUAUUACAAACAGACGGGCGCAGCAACGCG
RNAcentral lists this long non-coding RNA (1374 nucleotides) under Triticum aestivum (bread wheat). Its description in RNAcentral is "long non-coding RNA (TAES_LNC004284)". The record is from RNAcentral. Lineage: Eukaryota; Viridiplantae; Streptophyta; Magnoliopsida; Poales; Poaceae.